UGGGGAAUAUUGCACAAUGGGCGCAAGCCUGAUGCAGCCAUGCCGCGUGUGUGAAGAAAGGCCUUCGGGUUAUAAAGCACUUUCAGCGAGGAGGAAGGUGGUGAACUUAAUACGUUCAUCAAUUGACGUUACUCGCAGAAGAAGCACCGGCUAACUCCGUGCCAGCAGCCGCGGUAAUACGGAGGGUGCAAGCGUUAAUCGGAAUUACUGGGCGUAAAGCGCACGCAGGCGGUUUGUUAAGUCAGAUGUGAAAAUCCCCGGGCUCAACCUGGGAACUGCAUUUGAAACUGGCAAGCUAGAGUCUCGUAGAGGGGGGUAGAAUUCCAGGUGUAGCGGUGAAAUGCGUAGAGAUCUGGAGGAAUACCGGUGGCGAAGGCGUCCCCCUGGACGAAGACUGACGCUCAGGUGCGAAAAGGCGUGGGGAGCAAAACAGGAUUAGAUACCCUGGUAGUCCACGCUGUAAAACGAUGUCGAUUUUGGAGGUUGUGCCCUUGAGGCGUGGCUUCCGGAGCUAACGCGUUAAAUCGACCGCCUGGGGAGUACGGCCGCAAGGUU
RNAcentral lists this ribosomal RNA (555 nucleotides) under uncultured bacterium. RNAcentral's name for it is "partial 16S ribosomal RNA". It matches the Rfam family "Bacterial small subunit ribosomal RNA", at positions 355 to 895 of the family's 1533-position model. The record is from RNAcentral.